Molecule: ribosomal RNA, 555 nt
Filed under: uncultured bacterium
Lineage: Bacteria
Description: bacterial SSU rRNA
Rfam family: Bacterial small subunit ribosomal RNA
Source: RNAcentral
AAUAGAUACCCGGGUAGUCCACGCCGUAAACUAUGGGUACUAGGUGUGGGAGGUAUCGACCCCUUCCGUGCCGCCGUUAACACAAUAAGUACCCCGCCUGGGGAGUACGGUCGCAAGAUUAAAACUCAAAGGAAUUGACGGGGGCCCGCACAAGCAGCGGAGCAUGUGGUUUAAUUCGAAGCAACGCGAAGAACCUUACCUAGACUUGACAUCUCCUGAAUUACCUGUAAUAAGGGAAGCCCUUCGGGGCAGGAAGACAGGUGGUGCAUGGUUGUCGUCAGCUCGUGUCGUGAGAUGUUGGGUUAAGUCCCGCAACGAGCGCAACCCUUAUCAUUAGUUGCUACCAUUAAGUUGAGCACUCUAGUGAGACUGCCCGGGUUAACCGGGAGGAAGGUGGGGAUGACGUCAAAUCAUCAUGCCCCUUAUGUCUAGGGCUACACACGUGCUACAAUGGUGAGUACAACAAGAUGCAAACCCGUGAGGGGAGCCAAACUGUAAAACUCAUCCCAGUUCGGACUGAAGGCUGAAACUCGCCUUCAUGAAGCCGGAGUUGCU